AGAGUUUGAUCAUGGCUCAGAAUCAACGCUGGCGGCGUGCCUAACACAUGCAAGUCGAACGCGAAAGUCCCGAAAGGGAUAAGUAGAGUGGCAAACGGGUGAGUAACGCGUGGGUGACCUGCCUUCGAGCGGGGGAUAACGUUCCGAAAGGGACGCUAAUACCGCAUAACAUCCUGCCUUUGAAGAGGUGGAGAUCAAAGCUGGGGAUCGCAAGACCCGGCACUUGAAGAGGGGCCCGCGUCUGAUUAGCUAGUUGGUGAGGUAACGGCUCACCAAGGCUUCGAUCAGUAUCCGGCCUGAGAGGGCGGACGGACACACUGGGACUGAGACACGGCCCAGACUCCUACGGGAGGCAGCAGUGGGGAAUUGUUCGCAAUGGGCGCAAGCCUGACGACGCAACGCCGCGUGGAGGAUGAAGAUUUUCGGAUCGUAAACUCCUGUCGAACGGGACGAAAAGAUCACGGGUUAACAGCCCGUAGUCCUGACGGUACCGUUAAAGGAAACCCCGGCUAACUCCGUGCCAGCAGCCGCGGUAAUACGGGGGGGGUAAGCGUUGUUCGGAAUUACUGGGCGUAAAGGGCUCGUAGGCGGCCAACUAAGUCAGACGUGAAAUCCCUCAGCUUAACUGGGGAACUGCGUCUGAUACUGGAUGGCUUGGAUUCGGGAGAGGAAUGCGGAAUUCCAGGUGUAGCGGUGAAAUGCGUAGAUAUCUGGAGGAACACCGGUGGCGAAGGCGGCAUUCUGGACCGACAUUGACGCUGAGGAGCGAAAGCCAGGGGAGCAAACGGGAUUAGAUACCCUAGUAGUCC
This 809-nucleotide ribosomal RNA is filed under the name uncultured bacterium. RNAcentral describes it as "bacterial SSU rRNA". It matches the Rfam family "Bacterial small subunit ribosomal RNA", at positions 8 to 796 of the family's 1533-position model. The record is from RNAcentral.